GAAGAAACGGCAAUGACCUGCUUC
RNAcentral lists this non-coding RNA (24 nucleotides) under Arabidopsis thaliana (thale cress). Lineage: Eukaryota; Viridiplantae; Streptophyta; Magnoliopsida; Brassicales; Brassicaceae. The record is from RNAcentral.